Molecule: ribosomal RNA, 1559 nt
Filed under: Salmonella enterica
Lineage: Bacteria; Pseudomonadati; Pseudomonadota; Gammaproteobacteria; Enterobacterales; Enterobacteriaceae
Description: partial 23S ribosomal RNA
Rfam family: Bacterial large subunit ribosomal RNA
Source: RNAcentral
CCUGUGAGGGUUGCUGGAGGUAUCAGAAGUGCGAAUGCUGACAUAAGUAACGAUAAAGCGGGUGAAAAGCCCGCUCGCCGGAAGACCAAGGGUUCCUGUCCAACGUUAAUCGGGGCAGGGUGAGUCGACCCCUAAGGCGAGGCCGAAAGGCGUAGUCGAUGGGAAACGGGUUAAUAUUCCCGUACUUGGUGUUACUGCGAAGGGGGGACGGAGAAGGCUAUGUUGGCCGGGCGACGGUUGUCCCGGUUUAAGCGUGUAGGUGUGUGUUCCAGGUAAAUCCGGUUCACUUUAACACUGAGGCGUGACGACGAGGCACUACGGUGCUGAAGCAACAAAUGCCCUGCUUCCAGGAAAAGCCUCUAAGCAUCAGGUAACACGAAAUCGUACCCCAAACCGACACAGGUGGUCAGGUAGAGAAUACCAAGGCGCUUGAGAGAACUCGGGUGAAGGAACUAGGCAAAAUGGUGCCGUAACUUCGGGAGAAGGCACGCUGACACGUAGGUGAAGUGAUUUACUCAUGGAGCUGAAGUCAGUCGAAGAUACCAGCUGGCUGCAACUGUUUAUUAAAAACACAGCACUGUGCAAACACGAAAGUGGACGUAUACGGUGUGACGCCUGCCCGGUGCCGGAAGGUUAAUUGAUGGGGUCAGCGCAAGCGAAGCUCCUGAUCGAAGCCCCGGUAAACGGCGGCCGUAACUAUAACGGUCCUAAGGUAGCGAAAUUCCUUGUCGGGUAAGUUCCGACCUGCACGAAUGGCGUAAUGAUGGCCAGGCUGUCUCCACCCGAGACUCAGUGAAAUUGAACUCGCUGUGAAGAUGCAGUGUACCCGCGGCAAGACGGAAAGACCCCGUGAACCUUUACUAUAGCUUGACACUGAACAUUGAGCCUUGAUGUGUAGGAUAGGUGGGAGGCUUUGAAGUGUGGACGCCAGUCUGCAUGGAGCCGACCUUGAAAUACCACCCUUUAAUGUUUGAUGUUCUAACGUGGACCCGUAAUCCGGGUUGCGGACAGUGUCUGGUGGGUAGUUUGACUGGGGCGGUCUCCUCCUAAAGAGUAACGGAGGAGCACGAAGGUUGGCUAAUCCUGGUCGGACAUCAGGAGGUUAGUGCAAUGGCAUAAGCCAGCUUGACUGCGAGCGUGACGGCGCGAGCAGGUGCGAAAGCAGGUCAUAGUGAUCCGGUGGUUCUGAAUGGAAGGGCCAUCGCUCAACGGAUAAAAGGUACUCCGGGGAUAACAGGCUGAUACCGCCCAAGAGUUCAUAUCGACGGCGGUGUUUGGCACCUCGAUGUCGGCUCAUCACAUCCUGGGGCUGAAGUAGGUCCCAAGGGUAUGGCUGUUCGCCAUUUAAAGUGGUACGCGAGCUGGGUUUAGAACGUCGUGAGACAGUUCGGUCCCUAUCUGCCGUGGGCGCUGGAGAACUGAGGGGGGCUGCUCCUAGUACGAGAGGACCGGAGUGGACGCAUCACUGGUGUUCGGGUUGUCAUGCCAAUGGCACUGCCCGGUAGCUAAAUGCGGAAGAGAUAAGUGCUGAAAGCAUCUAAGCACGAAACUUGCCCCGA